AUACCUUUCUCGGCCUUUUGGCUAAGAUCAAGUGUAGUAUCUGUUCUUAUCAGUUUAAUAUCUGAUACGUGGGCCAUCGGCCCACAUGAUAUUAAAUUUAUUUUUUUAGGGGGAGAGCCCAUCACAGUAGCUUGCUACUGGGGCUCUCGCGCGUCGCCCAAACGUUGCACUACUGCUCGGGCCUGGCGCACCCCAC
Molecule: small nuclear RNA, 196 nt
Organism: Corchorus capsularis
Lineage: Eukaryota; Viridiplantae; Streptophyta; Magnoliopsida; Malvales; Malvaceae
Rfam family: U2 spliceosomal RNA
About the family: U2 is a small nuclear RNA (snRNA) component of the spliceosome (involved in pre-mRNA splicing). Complementary binding between U2 snRNA (in an area lying towards the 5' end but 3' to hairpin I) and the branchpoint sequence (BPS) of the intron results the bulging out of an unpaired adenosine, on the BPS, which initiates a nucleophilic attack at the intronic 5' splice site, thus starting the first of two transesterification reactions that mediate splicing.
Source: Rfam